Molecule: ribosomal RNA, 405 nt
Filed under: uncultured bacterium
Lineage: Bacteria
Description: partial 16S ribosomal RNA
Rfam family: Bacterial small subunit ribosomal RNA
Source: RNAcentral
AUUGAACGCUAGCGGGAUGCUUUACCCCUGCAAGUCGAACGAGUGGCGGACGGGUGAGUAAUAUAUUGGAACGUGCCCAGUAGCGGGGGAUAACUACUCGAAAGCGUGGCUAAUACCUCAUCCCAUUGGACUGGCCCAUAUCGGAUUAGCUAGUUCGUUGGGUAAAGGCUCACCAAGGCAACGAUCCGUAGCUGGUUUGAGUGGACGACAAGCCACACUGGGACUGAGAUAGGGCCCAGACUCCUACGGGAGGCAGCAGUGGGGAAUUUUGGACAAUGGGGGAAACCCUGAUCCAGCCAUCCCGCGUGUAUGAGAAGGCCUUCGGGUUGUAAAGUACUUUUGGCAGAGAAGCGGUAUCUGCAGAAUAAGCACCGGCUAACUACGUGCCAGCAGCCGCGGUAAUUC